GUUGAAGGCUUCAAAGCCUCAUGGCAUUAGAAAGUUGAAGACAUCAUUUGAGGAUGAUUUGCUUCGAAUUGAAAGAAUGCCUGAAAUUGUCGGUAUCUCUGAUGCUCCAUCUGUGAGCAGUGAUGACCCUAACGGUUGGCAUGUACAGAUAUUUCGUUCAAUUGACUCGAACUCGGUCAAAGGCUUUCCAAAGGAUCCUAAAGAAGCUACAAUGAAGAACUUGGUGUGUGGUAAAAAUGUACUUAUUGACAUGAGCAUACACACAGCAUAUGUGAAGGCUAUCCGUGCUGCUCAACACUUCGUUUACAUCGAAAAUCAAUAUUUCAUUGGUUCUUCAUACAACUGGAGUCAACAUAAAGAUGUUGGUGCAAAUAAUCUGAUUCCCAUGGAAAUUGCACUUAAAAUAGCUGAAAAGAUAAGAGCGCAUGAGAGGUUUG
RNAcentral lists this unclassified non-coding RNA (437 nucleotides) under Hevea brasiliensis (rubber tree). The record is from RNAcentral. Lineage: Eukaryota; Viridiplantae; Streptophyta; Magnoliopsida; Malpighiales; Euphorbiaceae.